RNAcentral lists this long non-coding RNA (5367 nucleotides) under Homo sapiens (human). RNAcentral's name for it is "non-protein coding lnc-ZSCAN10-3:32". Lineage: Eukaryota; Metazoa; Chordata; Mammalia; Primates; Hominidae. The record is from RNAcentral.
AGGAAAGGCGAGGCUCUGCAUCUAGAUUUACCUCGUUCUCUUUUGUCUCCGCUUUUUUUUCACAUUUCCUUGCGACCCUGGCCCUUGAGCGACAAAAAGGGGAAGCCAAGGCUGGCCCGAGGAACGGAGAGGGCACAUGGCCUAGCCACAAGUGGAGCUUCUGCUCCGCCCGAAGGGAUGCGCUGGAGCGGCCUCUUCCUUCUGCCACGGUCUUUCUUUGCCAACUAGUAGGUGAGGGCCGAAAGGCCGCGGGCCGUGGAGCUCGGGCCGGGGAGACUCUUUUCUAGCCUCUUGGGUCCCGCUCCUCCCAAUUCCCUGGAGAGGCGUCGAGCUUGCUGGGAAGUGCCCUCGGGUAAGGGGCGCGGAGCCUCCUGCGGCGAUCCUCUGUCUUCGGGUCGCCUUAGCAGGACGCGGCAAGCGGGACACUGACCUGGCCGGAGUCCCGCGUUCUCUCACCAGCUGCUUUGUCCACGAGUUGCUGCUGGGCGUCAGGGGUCCCACGGCCCGGAGGGAUCUAGAGCAGGGGGGCUCGGGGUCCUUUCCAUACCCUCGGAUCCUCUCCCACUCUCUCCACGCCUCGACCCGGAGAUGAUUUCAGGCUCCAGAUCUCUUUCAUAAAUGGAAAGAGUUUUUUUGGUUUGUUUUGUCUUAAUUAUGUAGGUGUUGCAUGCUUGGAAGAGAAAAUUUAGAAAAUUAAUUGGAAAACCAUAAAGAUAGCUUUCUCGUGAUAGCCACAAGGCUUGCUCCCUCAUUCUGCUCAUAUGUCACCCCCUCAAGGAGGCCUUCCCCAGCUCUGUAAACAACCUGUGCUCGGCGUUAACUUUUCUCCCUAAUGUUUAUCACUACCUGACAUAUACGUGUUUCCCACGACUCAACGAUAAGUGUUCAUGAGGGCAGACACUUUUUAAUGCCCUAUGACAAGCACCUAGAAUUGUGCCUGGCACAUGGUAGAUGCUUAGUAAAUAUUUGUUUAAUGAAUGAAGGUAAAAAACAUUUCUAAUACGACCAUCCAGGAAUAAGUACUAUUCAUGUUUUAGUGUGUUCUUACAGUUUUACUGUUCAGACAGUUAUAUGCCUGUGAAUAUAUAUUAUAUAUGUGUGUAUAUAUAUAUAUAUAUAUAUAUAUAUAUUUUUUUUUUUUUUUUGAGACAGAGUCUCGCUCUGUCACCCAGGCUGGACUGCAGUGGCGCGAUCUUGGCUCACUGCAACCUCCGCCUCCUGGAUUCAAGCGAUUCUUCUGCCUCAGCCUCCCGAGUAGCUAGGAUUACAGGCAUGUGUCACCACGCCCGGCUAAUUUUGUAUUUUUAGUAGAGACGGGGUUUCUCCGUGUUGGUCAGGCUGGUCUCGAACUCCUGACCUCAGGUGAUCUGCCCGCCUCGGCCUCCCAAAGUGCUGAGAUUACAGACGUGAGCCACCGUGCCUGGCGGAAUUUUCAUAUUUUAAGUCCCCCACCCUUGGACAUUUAGAUUUUUUCCAUCUUUCUGUAUUUGCAGAUAUGCUUCUACGUACACCUUUAUUCAUUUGCUUGAACAUUUCCCUGAGAAAAACUAGAAAUGGAAUUGCCAGAUUACUUUGUGUACAUGUUUCCAAACUGUCCUCCAGAAAGAAUGUAAUGCUUUGAACUUCCACUUGAGAAUCAAAUGUUUACCUUCCUCUGUUCCUCCAGAUUUGGACAUUUACAGUGUUCAGCCGUUGUUGUGGCAUUCCAAUUCAAUUGGGAAACAGCUUGAUGUAGCGUCCCCAUAAGGUCCACAGUAAUUAAAUUUUUUUUUUUUUUUUUUGGUGCGGUAGUGCAAUUUCAUGGCUCACUGCAACCUCCACCUCCCAGGUUCAAGCGAUCCUCCCAUCUCAGCCUCCCUAGUAGCUGGGAUUACAGGUGCACGCCACCACACCAGGCUAAUUUUUGUAUUUUUAGUAGAGAUGGGGUUUCACCAGGUUAGCCAGGCUGGUCUUGAACUCCAGACCUCAAGGGAUCCGCCUGCCUCAGCUUUCCAAAGUGCUGGGAUUACAGGUGGAGACUGGACCUCAGAAGAGGGAGUGGGUGCCCCGAGAACUCACAGCUAGCGGACAGUGGAAAGGGCAGGAGCCGGACCAAGGUGAGGACAGUGGAACUGAAGGCCGCUGGUUACCUCUCCUGCCCUCCGCUGGCCACAGUGGAGAAGACAGCCCCUCCCUCCUGCUCUGACCUGACAGUGUUCAUCCAUCGCCCUGUAUUAGCGAAGAACAACAUCAAGCUGGCUAGCAAGGAACUGUAUACAGGGUCCAGCUGGGUAUCACACUGGAUCUCACCCAAAGCUUAGAUGUGAUCCAGCUCAGUAUCACAAAGCAGAACGAAAAGGAUGUGUUUGGGCUGAGAGGCCAUACAUUGGUAAGUGGCACAUGAACUGUAUUUUCUAUUGAGCAUUGCUGGUAUAUGGCAAAUUUGCAUAAAAUUAUAUUGAAAUUGACUACCGGAUUGCACUUUCUUGUUCCUUCUGAUAAUUUUUCACGUGUUCUUUUUCUUUCUUACUUUAGAUGGAGUCUUGCUCUGUCGCCCAGGCUGGAGUCCAGUGGCGCGAUCUCGGUUCACUGCAAGCUCUGCCUCCCGAGUUCAUGCCAUUCUCCUGCCUCAGCCUCCUGAGUAGCUGGGACUACAGGCACCUGCCACCACGGCUGGCUAAUUUUUUUUUUUUUUUUUUUGAAAUGGAGUCUUGCUCUGUUGCCCAGGCUGGAGUGCAGUGGCGCGAUCUCAGCUCACUGCAAACUCCGCCUCCCGAGUUCAUGCCAUUCUCUUGCCUCAGCCUCCCGAGUAGCUGGGACUACAGGAGCCCACCACCAUGCCCGGCUAAUUUUUUGUAUUUUUAGUAGAGACGGGGUUUCACCAUGUUAGCCAGCAUGGUCUCUAUCUCCUGACCUCGUGAUCCACCUGCCUCGGCCUCUUUUUUAUAUUUUUAGUAGAGAUUUCACUGUGUUAACCAGGAUGGCCUCGCUCUCCUGACCUCAUGAUCUGCCCGCUUCAGCCUCCCAAAGUGCUGGGAUUACAGGCGUGAGCCACCGCGCCCGGUUAUUUGUUUAUUUAUUUAUUUAUUUUUUGAGACCGAGUCUUGCUCUGUAGCCCAGGCUGGAGUGCAGUGGCGCCAUCUUGGCUCACUGCAACCUCCACCUCCCACAUUGAAGCAGUUCUCCUGCCUCAGCCUCCCAAGUAACUGGGAUUACAGGAGCACACCACCACAUCUGGCUAAUUUUUUGUAUUUUUAGUAGAGAUGGGGUUUCACCAUGUUCGCUAGGCUGGUCUGAAACUCCUGACCUCAUGAUCCACCCGCCUUGGCCUCCCAAAGUGCUGGGAUUACAGGCAAUUCUGCUGCCUCAGCCUCCCAAGUAGCUGUGAUUACAGGUGUGUGCCACCAUGCCCGGCUAAUUUUUGUAUUUUUAGUAGAGACGAGGUUUUGCCAUGUUGCCCAAGCUGGUCUCAAACUCCUGACCUCAAGUGAUCUACCCGCCUUGGUCUCCUAAAGUGUUAAGAUUACAGGCAUGAGCCAUCGGGACCGGCCCACUGUUUUUUCUCGCUAGAAAAUACAGUCUAAAGUGGCCAGGUGCGGUGGCUCACGCCUGUAACCAUCCUGGCUAACACGGUGAAACCCCAGCUCUACUAAAAAUACAAAAAAUAAGCCGGACGUGGUGGCAGGCACCUUGUCCCAGCUACUCGGCAGGCUGAGGCAGGAGAAUGGCGUGAACCCAGGAUGCGGAGGUUGCAGUGAGCUGAGAACACGCCACUGCACUCCAGUCUGGAUGACAGAGCAAUACUCCGUCUCACAAAAAAGAAAAUAUAGUCUAUAAAUAAUGAAGAAAGUAAAGUGAACCUGGGAGGUGGAGGUUAUAGUGAGCUGAGAUCAUGGCACUGCACUUCAGCCUGGGCAGCAGCAAGACUCCGUCUCAAAAAAAAAAAAAAAAAAGAAAUAUGCGAGCUGCUAAGCUAGGCAGUUCUGGCUCAAGAUCUCUCAUGAUACUGCAGACACCACACCAACGAGGACCCCAGUCCUCUGGCACUGGAGGACCCACUUAGAAGGCGGAUGACUCACGUGGCUCUUGGCAGGAGACCUCAGUUCCUCCCCACAUAGGCCUCCCUAUAGGACUGCUUGAGUGUCCCGUUUACCAAAUGAUCUAAAUAUGUUCCGGUUUUGAUUGGCUGCUCUGCAAUGUGGGCCGUUAUCUAGCUGAUUCGGUGGGGCCUGAAGUGUCAGUUCCUGCCGCAGGGAUGUUAUAUGGAACCUUUGGCAGGCCGCUACAGACGAAUCAUAAUAUAAACCUGUGCUAGUUAUUGAUUACGUCCCAGCUCCUGCGUUGCCUGCUCUGUGAAAUGGUUCUGGCCCUUUAGUUUUUCCUUUACCAGCUGGCAUGAUCUUAAGCUUUGUCAGUAGAGGGCGCUGGAGAGACAUUGCAGGAGACGAGUUUCCCUUCCUGCUUCUGGUGUGUUCUCUCUAGGCUCCGGCAUGACGGGUGACUUCUUCCGAGUCUGGCUUCUGCAGCACACAGGGCUUCGCCAGCACCCAGCUCCUGCAGCAUGGGCAGCUCCUGUGACAGCAGGCGCCCGCAGCCUGCAAAGCGUCUCCAGUGCCGCCGCCUCAGUGAACCUCAACCAGCGGCACCUAGCAGCUUUCUCUGCCACCCUCUUCAGGUAGUUCUGUAGCAGCGCGUUUCUCAUGAGACACUUCCCUGUGAGCAGCUUUUUCUACCCUUGAGGAUGGAUUUCCAGCAAAUUCUGCCCAUGUGGUACCACAGCCACUUCUCUGCCAUUCAGUGAAACUGCCGUUGUGCCCUCUUCAAGGUCUGGAUCUAAGCCCAGGGACCAGGAAACCUCUUGCUUGAGUGCUGGAACUCAGGCCAGAAGGACAUCCCUGUAGAAGUUCUGCUGCGUGUGGUCCAGCCGUCCCCACUCCUCCCGGGAGAGGUACAAGGCCACAUCCUCGAAAGUCACUGGCAUCUGAAACAAUGUGAAACAUCCACUCUCCAGGACAUGACGUGGACACGGUGGAGGGACACCAUGGCAUGAGAUGUGUGGUGAGACCCCGGACUCCCAACCCACUGUGUCGAGUGAGGCCUGCCACUUCCAUCUGAUCGGGAAGCAGGUGAGCCACCCAAGGCCUUCUGGGGAGUUGAGAAAGAACAAAGACCAAGAGGUAUUUUCAGGGAUCACAGUUAAGACUUAGGAUGUCCAUGCAGCCCCCAGCCUCAGCUGAGACCUCGGAGGACGGUUCCCAACGGCUACCAGCGAGAGGCCCUGUGUCUCUAAUUCCUGCUGCUUCUCCUCCAGCUUUGGCCCAGGCCUGACCAUGGGCCUUGAGCCUGGACAAUUCCAGCAACACUAGCAAGAGCCCCAGGCUUCAGGCU